RNAcentral lists this ribosomal RNA (253 nucleotides) under uncultured bacterium. Its description in RNAcentral is "partial 16S ribosomal RNA". It matches the Rfam family "Bacterial small subunit ribosomal RNA", at positions 524 to 776 of the family's 1533-position model. The record is from RNAcentral.
UACAGAGGGUGCGAGCGUUAAUCGGAAUUACUGGGCGUAAAGCGCACGUAGGUGGUUAAAUAAGUUAAGUGUGAAAUACCAGGGCUUAACCUUGGAUGGUCAUUUAAUACUGUUUAGCUAGAGUAUGGUAGAGGGAAGUGGAAUUUCCGGUGUAGCGGUGAAAUGCGUAGAUAUCGGAAGGAACAUCAGUGGCGAAGGCGGCUUUCUGGACUAAUACUGACACUGAGGUGCGAAAGCGUGGGGAGCAAACAGG